Non-coding RNA from Heterocephalus glaber (naked mole-rat), 3662 nucleotides. The record is from RefSeq and is a predicted model, not a curated record. Lineage: Eukaryota; Metazoa; Chordata; Mammalia; Rodentia; Bathyergidae.
CAAAUUGAGUAUGCAGCAGAAGCAAGAAAUAAACUUUCAUUGGGUUAAGCCCCUGAAAUGUUAGGUUUGCUAGUUACACUAUGGUAGGGUAACCCAGCCUUUCCGGAGAGCCAGGAGUGACAGAUGAAGUCUCGAGAGUAGCAGCUAGAUCAGGAAAGGCCCCUUCCAUCCAGCAAAGGAUUUAGAACUCUCUACUGCCCGUAAGAGGAAGCCAGUGAAGGCUUGCAAGCUGGGGCGCUAACACAAACAGAUUUGUUACGUUUUGGAUGAAAUAUGCUAUUUCUCAACCUAAGGACAAAAUCAGCCUACUAAACCACAUAAGGCAAAGAGGAACACACAGAACUCUCAGGCAAAAGAUACAUAUUUAUAACAAAUCCUAAGUCUUUAAGCUUCUAAAUGCAGGAUUUCCCCCAAAAAACAAGUUACAAAGAGGUUCAGGCAAAAACAUUUCUUUUAUGGUUCAGGCACCACCUCUGCAGAUAACUAAUACUUCACAAGGAAGUUGGCCAGAAUAGAGAAAAUACAAGGAAACAUAACAGAGACCUGAGAUUCAAUUUCCAGCUGUCUCUGUUACCAGAGAAAGACACUGAAACUUUCUGGCCCUAUUUCCUCAUAUGUCAAGCCAGGGUAGUAAUAUAAGCCUCUCAAGAUGGUUGUGGGGAGAAAACAGUAUUCAUAAAUUGCUUAGAUGAAUACUUGGCAGAUAGUAGGUGUUUAAUACAUGAAACUCAUUUUUAUUACUGUUAUCAGAAAGCAUUAUUUAGAACACCAGCUCCCUAAUUACAACAGAAAAUGAUUCUGGCAACAGACAGAGGAGAAUGCUGCCUCCUUGGGAGAAGUAACUGAUCUUGUCAUCACUGUGGAGCUUCCCCGCCCCCAGCCCGGUUCAGGGCCUGGCUGGCAGCAGCCAGCUAUCCUCUGCCAUGAGUGAAAGCAGCCAGGUGAGUGCCUGGAGUCAAGAGAAGCUGGCCCAUUUCCCACUGAUACCAGCCGCUGUUGGUUUCUGAACUCUCAAGGCCACAAACACCUUAAAGCCCCCAAGCCAUGAACCCAUGGCCCAAAUCCCAAGUUUAGAGAAGUCUAGAUUAGAACCCAAGGGUUUAAACUGCCCCAGGUCCACCCUCAACCCUAGUCCCCGAUAGAAGGCGUCGGACAGAGCUGACUUCUAACCCGUUGGUUAUUGCCCUAACUCCUCUCCGCUCCUCACUGCAAAGUACACCCACUCCUGCCAAAUCACACUAUCCCGGCCUUCCAUCGAAGGCUCCGGGACAGAGGAAGGGCAGGGCAGGGCAGGGGACUUCUCAGUGACAUCCCUACAUUAACUCCUGGAAGCCCAAGGUAGACGUCACCAGCGCCACUUGCAGACCCAGCACGAGGUUCGGAGAAGGCUCGCGCUCUGCACACUUGACACAUGGCGGCCCAGCCAGGAGAGAGGCACGAUUCCCAGCUUCGGUAUUCUCUCUGCCACACACUUUCGUCCCUAAGGGGUGGGAGGAGGAAUCUCACCGCCGGAGGGAGCGAAACCACUUACAAGAACCAGAUAUCCUGGUGACCUUGGGUUCCUUGCCAGCUAUACAUCCCUACUUCUACAUCUACGGCCCUGAGGAACAGAGUUGGUCAUCAGAAUCAUCUUUGAUAUGCACAGCAUACACUCACUAAACACUGGAGGUGAGAAGCUAUGUACAACAUCAAUACUACUAUCAAAAGCAGGCAGUAUGUGAAAUAUUAAUUGCUGUGACAGAAGCAAGUACUGACCAAUGUACCUUGGGAACAAGUGCCCACCCAAGGCAGUUCAGCAAUCGCUUUACUGAGGAGGCCACAUGGACAGCUAUCCUCCAAGGAGUGAGUAAGAGUGGACAGUGCAUGGGAUGAUAGUGUUCUAGAGACUGGGGACACCAAGGACUACGCUAAGCAGUGUGCCCCAGCCACACCUCAACUAUUCAUGGACAAGUGGAUGGAGUUCCUCCCUAGUUGUUUUCAGAUUUUAAAAAAAUAACUGCAUCAAGCCAUCUGAAUUUAAAACAGACAGGCAGAAACCUGGAAGGAGUCAGGAUUCUCCUUCACAUAUCAAAUACUGCAGCCAGUGCUUGUCUGAGUGUGUUUGCGGCAUUUUGUAAGGAGGACGGGCCGUAUUCUGCAAAUGGGUGAAUAAGGCUCCCUGUUUCAACUCGUCUCAGGUCUGCAGGCCAGGUUAGUUCUGAUCUGGCAGGCUGGCCCUCCAACUGUGGGUUAUUCCCGCUAUCACCGCACCCCUUUGAAGAUUUCUCCUGGGUCUUAAGAGGGAUUUGGUGCCCACUGUGGACUUGGAGUAAUGAGCUCACAACUAAUGUUUCUCAUUACACCAGCAAGUCGUCAACCCUUCUGUUUGCUCAGGUGUGCAGCUGGGUGCUCCGUGCCCUCAUCUGUACAAUAACAAAAUAGAUGUUUUUAGAAGAGAGAAUUGAAGAUGAAGGAACGUCAGAAAUGGUGGAGUGGGAAAAAAAGAGGGCAGAAGACUCUGGUCUCUUUACAGCGAGAUAAAAUAUUUGCUAUAUACUCUCUUUACUACUUGUCACCCUCUAGUUCAAGAAAAAUAAUUUUUUAUCUGCAAAUGAAGCGGCAAGAUUCAUCCAAUGAGUUCGCCCAGUACAGCACACCUCCUGUGCAGGACUCCUGGAACUGGAAGCAGUGCCGGUAGAUGGCGCCCGAGUGCAGACGUGAUGCGCCCUUCUUCUCAAGGGGAAAAGGAUUAGAAAACCCUCAGCCAACAAACUCAACUGGGACCUCAGAAUGGGCGUCGUCCACCUUCAAGGGGGACCGAGUAUAAACACUUUUCUUUUCCUUUUUGCCAGAUGAGGAAGCAUAUGCGCUGGAAAUGGCCUUGCGCUAUCAGCCGGAGGCCGGGAAGUGAGUUCAGACACUGUUUACAAGACAGCUCCUAUUUCAGGCACAAAGAGUAAGACUCAGCAGGUAGGGAGGCUUUGAGAGCUAGAACCGAAUUUCCAAGAAGCUCUGGCUGUGCUGGGUCUGCGGAGGACUUGGCUCGGGAAACUCACUGGAUAAUGAGGCGAGGGAGCCUUACAUUUCUGGAAUAAACCCAUCUACCUUGCCCAGGGUACUGGUUGAGUAUACUGGGAAAUAUACAUAUAUUUGUGAUUCUAGAGUUGGACCCCACGUGUGGCUUUAGGCAAGUCUCUUCCCACUUGUGGAAUAGAUUUCACAGUUGUAAUGGAGGAAAGAGGAGUUGAUGUAUGGAAAAUGCUUAGCCCAACACCAACUAUUCAGCAGCCCUUUCAAUCUUGUCUCUAAAACUCACGCAUUGGGGAUCAGGACCUCUCCAGGUGGGAAAAACGACCUCUAUUUGUGGUUCUGCAUGCUGGCUGAUUCUCUAUGAGCUUAUCACACGAGCUCACAUCGUAUUUACUUACACAGACAUUAGAUUAGGUGCUCAUCUAAAGUAGGUAUAAGCUGUAAAGCUUUCUUUACAUUCCCCACGUCUGUCACUGCCCCUGGAACAUAAUAGUUGCUGUUAAAUCCAUGAAUUUUUCCUCUGAACAAGAUAUUCCAAACUGAAUGAUCAGGUACAGUAUUAUGGCCAAAUCUCACUUUUUUUCUUCACUGUGCUCAAUAAGGAAAAGAGAAAAUAUGAAGUUCCAUCAAAAAAUACAGCGAAUGUUUACAUU